AACGAACGCUGGCGGCAUGCCUAACACAUGCAAGUCGAACGCCCCGCAAGGGGAGUGGCGCACGGGGGAGUAACGCGUGGGAAUAUGCCCUUCGGUUCGGAAUAACACAGGGAAACUUGUGCUAAUAGCGGAUACGAUCUACGGAAGAAAGAUUUAUAGCCGAGGGAGUAGCCCGCGUAGGAUUAGCUAGUUGGUGAGGUAAUGGCUCACCAAGGCGACGAUCAUUAGCUGGUCUGAGAGGAUGAUCAGCCACACUGGGACUGAGACACGGCCCAGACUCCUACGGGAGGCAGCAGUGGGGAAUAUUGGACAAUGGGCGAAAGCCUGAUCCAGCCAUGCCGCGUGAGUGUUGAAGGCCUUAGGGUUGUAAAGCUCUUUCACCAGGGAAGAUAAUGACGGUACCUGGAAAAGAAGCCUCGGCUAACUCCGUGCCAGCAGCCGCUGUAA
This 447-nucleotide ribosomal RNA is filed under the name uncultured bacterium. RNAcentral's name for it is "partial 16S ribosomal RNA". It matches the Rfam family "Bacterial small subunit ribosomal RNA", at positions 29 to 523 of the family's 1533-position model. The record is from RNAcentral.